Long non-coding RNA from Brassica napus (rape), 1771 nucleotides. RefSeq lists it as uncharacterized. The transcript is spliced from 5 exons. Lineage: Eukaryota; Viridiplantae; Streptophyta; Magnoliopsida; Brassicales; Brassicaceae. The record is from RefSeq and is a predicted model, not a curated record.
CGCGGGUCUUAUCCUAGUCAUAUAUAUAAUGAGACUCUUUUCUCUCUUUUGAGAGUGUCCACGUAGACAGUUCAUGGGUCCCACCAAAAUCAUCUUUAUUCAAAACCGAAGCGGAGACUCCGAUCGUCGUCCACCACGAUCAAAGCUAUUAUGUCAUUCAAAGAGAUUUGGAUUCUUCAUCUCCCCCUUGACUCCACCUAUAUAAACUCUCCCGAAUCCAAAUCUUCUCUGAUAGCUUCCAUGGAUAAGAAACAGUCAGAUUUCCAGAUCCAACGCUUUGGAUAAAGCUCCGGCAAUAUCGAGCAGCGCAUCCAUGGCUAAGAAUCCAGCGAAAUCACAACAAAAUCUCCAACUGAAUCGAGCACCGGUUCCAUGGAUAAGAAAAAAGGGGGUUGCUUGGCUCCAUCUACAUCCCUGAUGAGAAGAAUUCGGUGAUCAUGGAUUUAUUCCUGCUGCUCGCGCCACUCACUACCGUCCAUCUUUACGAGACGGUUCCAUAAAGAGUGUUUGAGAAUCGUUGCAGUAUGCGAAGCAUUUAGCCGGUACAAGAAUCCAGAUGCUGUUCGACAAGUUCGAGAGUAUCCUUUUUCUCAUUUAGUUGUUUCAUAGUGUUUAAUCCAUGGUAGAGUUUUGACAUGUUUGCAUCUUUAUUAGUUUCAGGUAAAUCGAGUGGAGAUUUGAUUUGUGUUUAGUUUGGUUUACUGCACUAGCUCCUGUUGUAUUAAAUCUGCCUUUAACUAACUUAAACAUUUAUAGACUGCCGAAUUCCUAUGUACUGGGGAUGUUGCCAGUAUUGAAACAACAAAUGGAUGGUGCUAUGGCUCAUGCCCCAAGUUCUCAUCAUGCACGUGUGCCGGCCUGCCAUGAUGAAAAUGCGGUUGGAGUUGCAAGGUACCGGGUUGAGAUGUUAGUUAUUGAUGUAUCUGACCCGCCGUGUUCGUUACUUUUGAUGGUGAGAUGAACAAGUUGACCAGUGGUUCUGCUGUAGCAGCGUCCAUGAUAACGUCUGAAGAAUAUUCGUUUUUUUUUGCUAAUUCGUUUUUAAGGUACUAUCAUGUGAUGUUGAACAUGGUGUCACUUCUGCAGAAGAUCAAAGAAGCCAUGCUCAAAUAACCUUAAUCCUAGAAAGACCGGAACUGGAACAUAUUAAUGGAAAAGAGUCUUAUUUCUCCUCAUGUAAUUGAUACAGAUUGGUGUGGUAUUUGAGGUUAAAGACUAUUAGUACUUUUCAAUUCCUUAGUUUUGUAAGAAUAUGCCAUAUAGUCUACCUUAAAUUCCACAGAAUACUGAGUAGACAUCAACUCAUUGAGUUUGAGGUAAGAUGUUAAAUCUUUUCUAUCAUCAGCUAAGUCGUUUUUUUGACACAAGACUUUUAUACCAUUGCAUUGAACAGCUCUGUAUUCUUGGAAAUCUCUGUCCUGAAACUGCUGAAGAAGCAGUGGCAAUGGUUCCUUUUCUCAAGGUACAAUAAAGAAAAUUCUAACAUUUUCUAUUUUGUGGAAUAGCUUUUUUGUAAACAAAAGGAAGAGCAUACAGUGAGUAAGCAAUUGAGAAGAUGCUCAGUGAUCUCUCCCUUGUCUAGAGAUUCAAAUAGUGCAAAAAAUCUCGAGAUCUAAGAUUUUAAACAUAUGUCAGGAUGUAAUAUUCUCUUUUUAGCUGAUGCUGUGUGUUUGUAGUUAAAUUAUUAAGAAAGUCUGUGACAGAUUAGGGAUGUGAGCAAUCCAUAUACUAAAUAAUCAUGUACACUGUGUUAUACCAUAUUGAUCCAAUA